Molecule: transfer RNA, 72 nt
Filed under: Ictidomys tridecemlineatus (thirteen-lined ground squirrel)
Lineage: Eukaryota; Metazoa; Chordata; Mammalia; Rodentia; Sciuridae
Description: Spermophilus tridecemlineatus (thirteen-lined ground squirrel) tRNA
Rfam family: tRNA
About the family: Transfer RNA (tRNA) molecules are approximately 80 nucleotides in length. Their secondary structure includes four short double-helical elements and three loops (D, anti-codon, and T loops). Further hydrogen bonds mediate the characteristic L-shaped molecular structure. tRNAs have two regions of fundamental functional importance: the anti-codon, which is responsible for specific mRNA codon recognition, and the 3' end, to which the tRNAs corresponding amino acid is attached (by aminoacyl-tRNA synthetases). tRNAs cope with the degeneracy of the genetic code in two manners: having more than one tRNA (with a specific anti-codon) for a particular amino acid; and 'wobble' base-pairing, i.e. permitting non-standard base-pairing at the 3rd anti-codon position.
Source: Rfam by way of RNAcentral
GCAGGUAUAGCUCAGUGGGUAGAGCGCUUGCCGAGUAUGCAUGAGGUCCUGGGUUCCAUCCCAGCACCAAUA